Molecule: ribosomal RNA, 207 nt
Filed under: uncultured bacterium
Lineage: Bacteria
Description: partial 16S ribosomal RNA
Rfam family: Bacterial small subunit ribosomal RNA
Source: RNAcentral
CGGAUCGCAGGCNGCAACUCGCCUGCGUGAAGUUGGAAUUGCUAGUAAUCGCGGAUCAGCAUGCCGCGGUGAAUACGUUCCCGGGCCUUGUACACACCGCCCGUCACACCAUGGGAGUUUGUAACACCCGAAGCCAGUAUCCUAACCGCAAGGGGGGAGCUGCCGAAGGUGGGAUAAGCGACUGGGGUGAAGUCGUAACAAGGUAGC